AGCGGCGGACGGGUGAGUAACACGUGGGUAACCUGCCUGUAAGACUGGGAUAACUCCGGGAAACCGGAGCUAAUACCGGAUAGUUCCUUGAACCGCAUGGUUCAAGGAUGAAAGACGGUUUCGGCUGUCACUUACAGAUGGACCCGCGGCGCAUUAGCUAGUUGGUGGGGUAAUGGCUCACCAAGGCGACGAUGCGUAGCCGACCUGAGAGGGUGAUCGGCCACACUGGGACUGAGACACGGCCCAGACUCCUACGGGAGGCAGCAGUAGGGAAUCUUCCGCAAUGGACGAAAGUCUGACGGAGCAACGCCGCGUGAGUGAUGAAGGUUUUCGGAUCGUAAAGCUCUGUUGUUAGGGAAGAACAAGUGCGAGAGUAACUGCUCGCACCUUGACGGUACCUAACCAGAAAGCCACGGCUAACUACGUGCCAGCAGCCGCGGUAAUACGUAGGUGGCAAGCGUUGUCCGGAAUUAUUGGGCGUAAAGGGCUCGCAGGCGGUUUCUUAAGUCUGAUGUGAAAGCCCCCGGCUCAACCGGGGAGGGUCAUUGGAAACUGGGAAACUUGAGUGCAGAAGAGGAGAGUGGAAUUCCACGUGUAGCGGUGAAAUGCGUAGAGAUGUGGAGGAACACCAGUGGCGAAGGCGACUCUCUGGUCUGUAACUGACGCUGAGGAGCGAAAGCGUGGGGAGCGAACAGGAUUAGAUACCCUGGUAGUCCACGCCGUAAACGAUGAGUGCUAAGUGUUAGGGGGUUUCCGCCCCUUAGUGCUGCAGCUAACGCAUUAAGCACUCCGCCUGGGGAGUACGGUCGCAAGACUGAAACUCAAAGGAA
RNAcentral lists this ribosomal RNA (830 nucleotides) under Bacillus sp. A12(2013). Its description in RNAcentral is "bacterial SSU rRNA". It matches the Rfam family "Bacterial small subunit ribosomal RNA", at positions 94 to 909 of the family's 1533-position model. The record is from RNAcentral. Lineage: Bacteria; Bacillati; Bacillota; Bacilli; Caryophanales; Bacillaceae.